CUACGGGGUGCUCCAGUUAGGAAUAAUCUACAAUGCGCGAAAGCGUGAUAGUUUGAGCCAGAGUGUUUUUCAAUUGAAAGACUUUUGUGAAAUGUAAAAAGUUUCACGAAUAAGGACUGGGUAAGACUAGUGCCAGCCGCCGCGGUAAUACUAGCGGUCCAAGUCGCAACCAUUUUUAUUGGGUCUAAAACAUCCGUAGCUUGCUUGACAAGUCUUCUGUGAAAUUUUACGUCUAAAACGUAGAGCGCGCAGAAGGUACUAUCAAGCUAGAGACCGGAAGACGUAAGAAGUACAUUCAGAGUAGCGGUUAAAUGUGUUAAUCCUGGAUGGACUAACAAGAGCGAAGGCAUCUUACGAGGACGGUUCUGACAGUAAGGGAUGAAAGCUAGGGGCGCAAAUGGGAUUAGAUACCCGCGUAGUC
Molecule: ribosomal RNA, 421 nt
Filed under: uncultured archaeon
Lineage: Archaea
Description: partial 16S ribosomal RNA
Rfam family: Archaeal small subunit ribosomal RNA
Source: RNAcentral